Molecule: non-coding RNA, 20 nt
Filed under: Mus musculus (house mouse)
Lineage: Eukaryota; Metazoa; Chordata; Mammalia; Rodentia; Muridae
Also listed under: 1 other name
Source: RNAcentral
AAGUAAAAGUCGUAACAAGG